Molecule: long non-coding RNA, 613 nt
Organism: Callithrix jacchus (white-tufted-ear marmoset)
Lineage: Eukaryota; Metazoa; Chordata; Mammalia; Primates; Cebidae
Source: RefSeq, a predicted model, not a curated record
GCUUCCCCCUUGCUCAAAGGCAAACUAAAGUCAUGGGGAAGCAUAGCGCCACUUCCUCUUGUUUUCAAGCUCAUCCUGUUCUUAGGCUCUUCUUGGUGGAAACAAGAGUGCCACAAGCUAUUGAGUCUCAUUAGCUGAACCCUCGGCAAAGAACCAGUGACUGACUCCACAUGCGGGAGACUUCAACCCAGUUGACAGAUGCUAUUUCUCUCCGUCCCCGCUGACCCAGGCUGGGGAGACAGCAUAUUUCAGACAGGAUGCCCUCCCAAGAGCUGUGAUGCAACCCUGGAAAAAAUACCUGCUCCAGAUCCCAAGCCAGGAUCUGGUUUCUGCCAAUUCAGAGUGACAGGGAUCGGCAGCUAAGACACUGGCCAUUCCAGGAGGGAUUCAGGCCAGUGACCAAUGCUGUGAUAAAUGGAAAUGGGGAAGAUGAGAAGGAUGAGUAGACAGAAGCUCGCUCUGUCACCCAGGCUGGAGUGCAUGGCACAAUCUCAGCUCACUGCAACCUCUGCCUCCCAGGUUCAAGCAAUGUGAGUAGCUGGGAUUACAGGCGCAAGCAACCACACUCAGCUAAUAUUUGUAUUUUUAGUAGAGACAGGGUUCCAUCGUGUUG